ACCGUUCCAACUUUUUCAACCCAGCCCAACCCAACCCGUUAUCAAAAGGAGAAACCGUAUUUCCGUUGUCAUUCUCGUAAAGCCUCCCUUUCAACUUCAAAAUCGAGAUUCCUUGCCUCCUGCAAUCUCCUACCCAAGAACAUGAAGGAAGAGGAAGACGAUAACCGGGAUCUUCCUGAGCUUGAGUAAGAACGAGUUUGCGGAGUCAAAUUCAACGGCGGAGAGUGCCAUUUCCGGUGAUGCUGAAGAUGGACGAACGGAGGAGGAAUACCUGUAUUAGAAUUGUAAGGUGAUGGUUUUGUUGUUCUGGGAUCUUCUUUAUUAAAUUAAUGAAAGAAACAUCUGGUUUUCCAAUAUCACUUUGUAGUGGAUUUACUGUUUCUGAUUUUUUUCAAGAUGGUGAUUAACUUAUUCUGAGUUUUUGGAGUGUUUUACGGGGUUUGAAGUCACUCUUAUUCGUGUGUAUGGGCAUCUUGGCAAUCAUUUUUGUGGAAAAUGCCAUUUCAAUUCUAAUAUGCAAGUAUGCAUCUGUCGUGUCUUUUGCCUAAUUAUCUGGAAACAUUAGAAGUGAAAUGUGCUUGAUGAUCACAUUUUGUUUU
RNAcentral lists this long non-coding RNA (599 nucleotides) under Olea europaea (common olive). RNAcentral's name for it is "long non-coding RNA (OEUR_LNC011927)". Lineage: Eukaryota; Viridiplantae; Streptophyta; Magnoliopsida; Lamiales; Oleaceae. The record is from RNAcentral.